UUCAUAUCACUGUGAGUCACAUAGGAGAAUCUCAAAUACUUGAGAGUCGCAUCAGUUUCUUUCUGGAUUAAUGAGAGCGGCAUCAGUUAUUUUCAUCGGUAAUCUUAACAAUAGUUUCAAAAAUUGUUUAUUAUAUAUAAUUACUCCUCGCUUAACGAUCGAAUUCCGUUCUCACGACUUGGUCGCUAAGCGAGUAACUUGUUCGUAUAUGUCUAGAACAAUUUCUCAUGGCUGUAAAAUAAUUAUGCACAAAACUAUUUUUCUUCAUCAGAUUUUUGAAACUAGGAGUACGGAGAAUUACGUGCGAUAGAAGUCGUAAGCGACGCAUAUGGGCUAAAACCAAAUUUUCCAUUAAAAAAAUAAAAUAAAAAGUCAUAAGCU
This 381-nucleotide long non-coding RNA is filed under the name Androctonus crassicauda. Lineage: Eukaryota; Metazoa; Arthropoda; Arachnida; Scorpiones; Buthidae. The record is from RNAcentral.